AGAAUCAACGCUGGCGGCGUGCCUAACACAUGCAAGUCGAACGAGAAAGUGGAGCAAUCCAUGAGUAAAGUGGCGACCGGGUGAGUAACACGUGACUAACCUACCUUCAAGUGGGGGAUAACCUCGGGAAACCGGGGCUAAUACCGCAUAACAUCUUUGGAGUGGAAAUUCUGGAGAUCAAAGGAGUAAUUCGCUGGAAGAGGGGGUCGCGGCUGAUUAGCUAGUUGGCGGGGUAAUGGCCCACCAAGGCGAAGAUCGGUA
This 261-nucleotide ribosomal RNA is filed under the name uncultured bacterium. RNAcentral describes it as "partial small subunit ribosomal RNA". It matches the Rfam family "Bacterial small subunit ribosomal RNA", at positions 26 to 285 of the family's 1533-position model. The record is from RNAcentral.